Bemisia tabaci is the source of this 945-nucleotide RNA transcript. It is a transcript of the gene named Myosin light chain alkali, with no coding region annotated. The record is from RefSeq and is a predicted model, not a curated record. NCBI's taxonomy places the organism in Eukaryota, Metazoa, Arthropoda, Insecta, Hemiptera, Aleyrodidae.
CGACGAACCUAGUUUACGAAGUUCGCAAUCGGCUAAUAAUAGACUUGGCUCCUUAGUCUCCGACUCCGCUCAGAACCUCAGUCUCUCUCAUAGCACCAUACCGUGUCAUUUACAAGUUCUAGUGGUUAAGUUAAUUUACUCUGCAAAAUGGCCGAUCUUUCAGACGAGGAUGUCGCAAAGGUAAAAUUCGCGUUCGAAAUCUAUGACGUAGACGGUAUUGGUGCAAUUGACGGCACCAUGUUGGGAGCUCUCCUGAGGGCGCUCAACCUUAACCCAACUGAGGGUUUCAUUGAGAAAUUGGGAGGAACCAAGAAGAAGGGUGAAAAGACAAUCUCAUUAGAAGAAUUCCUGCCAAUCUACAGCCAAGUCAAGAAAGACAAGGACCAAGGAGUGUACGAAGAUUUUAUUGAAUGUUUGAAAUUAUACGACAAGGCAGAAAACGGACUUAUGUCAUACGCUGAAUUACAUCACAUUCUAUUGACCCUUGGUGAGAAAUUAGAAGAGAAAGAAGUCGAUGAAAUCUUCAAGGACUGCAUAGACCCCGAAGAUGAUGAAGGCAUGAUCCCAUAUGUUCCUUUCGUCAAAAGGUUCAUGGCUCUUAAAACAGUUUUUUAAUUUAAUUAACUAAGACCUGUUCCGUACCUUCCAAAACCCGUAAUCAGCUUCCAAGUUGAUUUGUUUCACCAGACAUUCUUGGCGAGAGUAUGUGAAAAGCCCGUUCCAAAAUCAAUUAUUCCUGAAUAAGCUGGAUCUCGACGCCACAAAUUCUACAUUCUGAGCCACUUCAUCUUGUCAACAAACAAAACAGCGAGACAAUGCGUGCCAGCGGAGCCGCUACUACAAAUCUGUACAAAUGUAUGAUCUGAUGUAUCCAAAAAUAUAAUAAUAAGGUUCACACACAUCUUUUUUAAAUAAACUUGUAAAAUAAACAGUUUUCGUCGGGAA